This 253-nucleotide ribosomal RNA is filed under the name uncultured bacterium. RNAcentral's name for it is "partial 16S ribosomal RNA". It matches the Rfam family "Bacterial small subunit ribosomal RNA", at positions 524 to 776 of the family's 1533-position model. The record is from RNAcentral.
GACAGAGGUGCCGAGCGUUAGGCGGAAUCACUGGGCUUAAAGCGUGUGUAGGCGGACUUCUAAGUACCUUGUGAAAUCCCACGGCUCACCCGUGGAACUGCUGGGUAUACUGGUCGUCUUGAGCCACCUAGGGGCGAGCGGAACAAAUGGUGGAGCGGUGAAAUGCGUAGAUAUCAUUUGGAACGCCAACGGUGAAAACAGCUCGCUGGGGGUGUGCUGACGCUGAGACACGAAAGCCAGGGGAGCGAACGGG